AGGAGCAAGUGCAAUCCCUGGAGACGAGUCGAAGGGGCCCGAGGCCCCGAGAAGGGCAGGAUGCGAUGCUGGGUGUGUGACCUCAGCCAUGGAAGGGCCACCUGCCACCGGGGGGCUGGGCCGUCGGGCCUUUGGUUGUGGAGGGAAAAGAGUGGCCACUUGCUGGAGCUGGGAACGUGCAGUGAUGAGCACUAGGACAAGAGGACCGUGACAAACAGACAUAGAAGGACAGCAUUGAGUUCAUUGCCUCAAAAUUGCUGCGCUCUCCUUCUGCCAGUGCCCAGAGAUGCUCCCCACACCACACUGCACUGCUGGGGGAUGUUAGAGGUGAUUCAAGACAGUUUUUCCUACCUCUUCAGUGCCUCUUUCAGCAAUAUGAAGUUAAAACCAGAGGAAUGAUCAGUGGAGCCUUCUAUUCUGCCACCUUUCUCUGCCUCUCUCCAAUCCUCUUACCUUUUUCACACAGCCUUCGUGGUUAUCACAGAGACUUAAGAUG
Long non-coding RNA from Homo sapiens (human), 496 nucleotides. Ensembl annotates it as long intergenic non-protein coding RNA 2199. The record is from Ensembl. Lineage: Eukaryota; Metazoa; Chordata; Mammalia; Primates; Hominidae.